GAUGAAGAACGCAGCGAAAUGUGAUAAGUAAUGUGAAUUGCAGAAUUCAGUGAAUCAUCGAAUCUUUGAACGCACAUUGCGCCCGUCAGUAUUCUGGCGGGCAUGCCUGUUCGAGCGUCAUUACGCCCCUCAAGUCCCCUGUGGACUUGGUGUUGGGGAUCGGCGAGGCUGGUUUUCCAGCACAGCCGUCCCUUAAAUUAAUUGGCGGUCUCGCCGUGGCCCUCCUCUGCGCAGUAGUAAAACACUCGCAACAGGAGCCCGGCGCGGUCCACUGCCGUAAAACCCCCCAACUUUUUAUAGUUGACCUCGAAUCAGGUAGGACUACCCGCUGAACUUAAGCAUAUCAAUAAGCGGAGGA
This 358-nucleotide unclassified non-coding RNA is filed under the name soil metagenome. RNAcentral describes it as "partial contains 5.8S ribosomal RNA, internal transcribed spacer 2, and large subunit ribosomal RNA". The stretch from base 1 to 120 matches the Rfam family "5.8S ribosomal RNA", at positions 35 to 154 of the family's 154-position model. The record is from RNAcentral.